Subdoligranulum variabile DSM 15176 is the source of this 142-nucleotide regulatory RNA element. It matches the Rfam family "FMN riboswitch aptamer (RFN element)". Rfam says of the family: The RFN element is a highly conserved domain that is found frequently in the 5'-untranslated regions of prokaryotic mRNAs that encode for flavin mononucleotide (FMN) biosynthesis and transport proteins. This element is a metabolite-dependent riboswitch that directly binds FMN in the absence of proteins. In Bacillus subtilis, the riboswitch most likely controls gene expression by causing premature transcription termination within the 5' untranslated region of the ribDEAHT operon and precluding access to the ribosome-binding site of ypaA mRNA. The record is from Rfam. Lineage: Bacteria; Bacillati; Bacillota; Clostridia; Eubacteriales; Oscillospiraceae.
AGUCUGUUUCAGGGCGGGGUGUGAUUCCCCACCGGCGGUAAGCGGCCCAAAGGGCCGUAAGCCCGCGACCGGCUGCUUGGGCAGCCGCUGAUCCGGUGUGAAUCCGGGGCCGACGGUAUAGUCCGGAUGAAAGAAACGGAAA